AGGGGCCGAAUGCACUUUUAC
This 21-nucleotide non-coding RNA is filed under the name Arabidopsis thaliana (thale cress). The record is from RNAcentral. Lineage: Eukaryota; Viridiplantae; Streptophyta; Magnoliopsida; Brassicales; Brassicaceae.